Lingula anatina is the source of this 521-nucleotide unclassified non-coding RNA. Lineage: Eukaryota; Metazoa; Brachiopoda; Lingulata; Lingulida; Lingulidae. The record is from RefSeq and is a predicted model, not a curated record.
UCUAUCAGUGCUUUUCUAGUUUUUUUUUUUUUUUUUUUUGAUGACUGUGGCCUUGUCUAUGGUUCCAGCACGUUGCUAUGGCUCACAACUAUGUGUCCUAUGAGGCAGCAUGUCAAGCUGUACAUGACAUAGGCAGGCGUAUCGCGGAGGGUGAGUUGUGUGUGGGACCACUGACUUUUGUCUUCACAGGUGUAGGAGGAGUAUCCAGGGGUGCCCAGGAGAUGUUCAAGCACCUGCCUCAUGAGUUUGUAUCUCCAGACAAACUGCCAGAGGUGGCAAGGAAUGGAGCAGAAUCACUGAUGCAUGGGAGAAGUUAUUAAUCAUAUGCACACAAUGUUUUCAUUGAAGAUCCACUGGGAGCAGUCAUUUUUCAAGAGGUCACAAUGUGAAGAGAUUUUGUUCUGCCUAAUGCUGACUGUGACAGCAUCAAAUAGAAGACCAAACUCUAUGCCACAAUUGUGGAUAAAGCAGACAACCUGAGUAGAAUCAGUGAUGGAGGAUUUGAUAGAGAGGAAUAUAAC